This 445-nucleotide ribosomal RNA is filed under the name uncultured bacterium. RNAcentral describes it as "partial 16S ribosomal RNA". It matches the Rfam family "Bacterial small subunit ribosomal RNA", at positions 354 to 796 of the family's 1533-position model. The record is from RNAcentral.
GUGAGGAAUAUUGGUCAAUGGACGGAAGUCUGAACCAGCCAUGCCGCGUGCAGGAUGACGGCUCUAUGAGUUGUAAACUGCUUUUAUGCUAGGGUAAACUCGGGUACGUGUACCCGACUGAAAGUAUAGCAAGAAUAAGGAUCGGCUAACUCCGUGCCAGCAGCCGCGGUAAUACGGAGGAUACAAGCGUUAUCCGGAUUUAUUGGGUUUAAAGGGUGCGUAGGCUGCUCGAUAAGUUAGAGGUGAAAAUUCUUCGCUUAACGACGGACGUGCGUCUGAUACUGUCGGGCUAGCGAGAGAGUGCUGUGGGCGGAAUGUGUAGUGUAGCGGUGAAAUGCUUAGAGAUUACACAGAACACCGAUUGCGAAAGCAGCUCACAAACUCUUUUCGGACGCUGAGGCACGAAAGCGUGGGGAGCAAACAGGAUUAGAUACCCUAGUAGUCC